GGUUAAGCGACUAAGCGUACACGGUGGAUGCCCUGGCAGUCAGAGGCGAUGAAGGACGUGCUAAUCUGCGAUAAGCGUCGGUAAGGUGAUAUGAACCGUUAUAACCGGCGAUUUCCGAAUGGGGAAACCCAGUGUGAUUCGUCACACUAUCAUUAACUGAAUCCAUAGGUUAAUGAGGCGAACCGGGGGAACUGAAACAUCUAAGUACUCCGAGGAAAAGAAAUCAACCGAGAUUCCCCCAGUAGCGGCGAGCGAACGGGGAGCAGCCCAGAGCCUGAAUCAGUGUGUGUGUUAGUGGAAGCGUCUGGAAAGGCGCGCGAUACAGGGUGACAGCCCCGUACACAAAAAUGCACAUAUUGUGAGCUCGAUGAGUAGGGCGGGACACGUGGUAUCCUGUCUGAAUAUGGGGGGACCAUCCUCCAAGGCUAAAUACUCCUGACUGACCGAUAGUGAACCAGUACCGUGAGGGAAAGGCGAAAAGAACCCCGGCGAGGGGAGUGAAAAAGAACCUGAAACCGUGUACGUACAAGCAGUGGGAGCACGCUUAGGCGUGUGACUGCGUACCUUUUGUAUAAUGGGUCAGCGACUUAUAUUCUGUAGCAAGGUUAACCGAAUAGGGGAGCCGAAGGGAAACCGAGUCUUAACUGGGCGUUAAGUUGCAGGGUAUAGACCCGAAACCCGGUGAUCUAGCCAUGGGCAGGUUGAAGGUUGGGUAACACUAACUGGAGGACCGAACCGACUAAUGUUGAAAAAUUAGCGGAUGACUUGUGGCUGGGGGUGAAAGGCCAAUCAAACCGGGAGAUAGCUGGUUCUCCCCGAAAGCUAUUUAGGUAGCGCCUCGUGAAUUCAUCUCCGGGGGUAGAGCACUGUUUCGGCAAGGGGGUCAUCCCGACUUACCAACCCGAUGCAAACUGCGAAUACCGGAGAAUGUUAUCACGGGAGACACACGGCGGGUGCUAACGUCCGUCGUGAAGAGGGAAACAACCCAGACCGCCAGCUAAGGUCCCAAAGUCAUGGUUAAGUGGGAAACGAUGUGGGAAGGCCCAGACAGCCAGGAUGUUGGCUUAGAAGCAGCCAUCAUUUAAAGAAAGCGUAAUAGCUCACUGGUCGAGUCGGCCUGCGCGGAAGAUGUAACGGGGCUAAACCAUGCACCGAAGCUGCGGCAGCGACACUGUGUGUUGUUGGGUAGGGGAGCGUUCUGUAAGCCUGUGAAGGUGUGCUGUGAGGCAUGCUGGAGGUAUCAGAAGUGCGAAUGCUGACAUAAGUAACGAUAAAGCGGGUGAAAAGCCCGCUCGCCGGAAGACCAAGGGUUCCUGUCCAACGUUAAUCGGGGCAGGGUGAGUCGACCCCUAAGGCGAGGCCGAAAGGCGUAGUCGAUGGGAAACAGGUUAAUAUUCCUGUACUUGGUGUUACUGCGAAGGGGGGACGGAGAAGGCUAUGUUGGCCGGGCGACGGUUGUCCCGGUUUAAGCGUGUAGGCUGGUUUUCCAGGCAAAUCCGGAAAAUCAAGGCUGAGGCGUGAUGACGAGGCACUACGGUGCUGAAGCAACAAAUGCCCUGCUUCCAGGAAAAGCCUCUAAGCAUCAGGUAACAUCAAAUCGUACCCCAAACCGACACAGGUGGUCAGGUAGAGAAUACCAAGGCGCUUGAGAGAACUCGGGUGAAGGAACUAGGCAAAAUGGUGCCGUAACUUCGGGAGAAGGCACGCUGAUAUGUAGGUGAAGCGACUUGCUCGUGGAGCUGAAAUCAGUCGAAGAUACCAGCUGGCUGCAACUGUUUAUUAAAAACACAGCACUGUGCAAACACGAAAGUGGACGUAUACGGUGUGACGCCUGCCCGGUGCCGGAAGGUUAAUUGAUGGGGUCAGCGCAAGCGAAGCUCUUGAUCGAAGCCCCGGUAAACGGCGGCCGUAACUAUAACGGUCCUAAGGUAGCGAAAUUCCUUGUCGGGUAAGUUCCGACCUGCACGAAUGGCGUAAUGAUGGCCAGGCUGUCUCCACCCGAGACUCAGUGAAAUUGAACUCGCUGUGAAGAUGCAGUGUACCCGCGGCAAGACGGAAAGACCCCGUGAACCUUUACUAUAGCUUGACACUGAACAUUGAGCCUUGAUG
This 2109-nucleotide ribosomal RNA is filed under the name Escherichia coli. RNAcentral describes it as "partial 23S ribosomal RNA". It matches the Rfam family "Bacterial large subunit ribosomal RNA", at positions 1 to 2136 of the family's 2925-position model. The record is from RNAcentral. Lineage: Bacteria; Pseudomonadati; Pseudomonadota; Gammaproteobacteria; Enterobacterales; Enterobacteriaceae.